CUGGCUCAGGACGAACGCUGGCGGCACGCUAACACAUGCAAGUCGAACGAACAGAGGAAGCUUGCUUCCGAAGUUGGUGGCGGACGGGUGAGUAACACGUGAGCAAUCUGCCUUUAAGUGGGGGAAUAACGUUUGGAAACGGACGGUAAUACCGCAUAAAAUACACGAACCGCAUGAUUUGUGUAUCAAAGAUUUAUCGCUUAAAGAUGAGCUCGCGUCUGAUUAGAUAGUUGGUGAGGUAACGGCCCACCAAGUCGACGAUCAGUAGCCGGACUGAGAGGUUGAACGGCCACAUUGGGACUGAGACACGGCCCAGACUCCUACGGGAGGCAGCAGUGGGGAAUAUUGCACAAUGGGCGCAAGCCUGAUUGCAGCGAUGCCGCGUGAGGGAAGAAGGUUUUCGGAUUGUAAACCUCUGUUGACAGGGACGAUAAUGACGGUACCUGUUCAGAAAGCUCCGGCUAACUACGUGCCAGCCGCGGC
Molecule: ribosomal RNA, 483 nt
Filed under: uncultured bacterium
Lineage: Bacteria
Description: bacterial SSU rRNA
Rfam family: Bacterial small subunit ribosomal RNA
Source: RNAcentral